Molecule: ribosomal RNA, 552 nt
Filed under: Triticum aestivum (bread wheat)
Lineage: Eukaryota; Viridiplantae; Streptophyta; Magnoliopsida; Poales; Poaceae
Description: partial small subunit ribosomal RNA
Source: RNAcentral
GCGCGCCACACCAUGGCUGAUGGCUUGGCUCGUCCUCGCGGCUGACGCCCAGGUCCGAGGGCCCUCGGAUCUGCGCUGGCGCGGCUGACGGCGGCUGGGUCGGAGGUGUUUCAGGGCCAGGUGAACGCCUCCGCCGCCCAAGACCCCGCCUUCUUCACACUUCGCGCGCCGGGAGCGGCACUUCUUCCUCCGCCGUCUUCCACCCGGGGAGGAGGGAGCCAAGUGUGCUUCUUCACGGCCAACGACGCCGCUCCUCCGCGCGAGGACAGGAUAGGGCUGGGUGCGCCUCGGUUGGGGCAACUCCCAUCUUGACGAGGCCAUGGAGAUGGAGCUUCUUCAAGGUGUGAGGACGUUCACCAUCGACCUUUGCGCCCAAGAAUGUGAUGGUCUCCGCUCUGCGUGCUUGCCAGGGUCUCCAAGCCCAACAACGCCCAGAUCUGGUCAGCGACGUUCGCUUAAGGCAGGGACACCUUUAGUGCUUGCCUGUUCCUAUAUCAGCAGUGCUCCGAGCUUCGUUAGGUUUUGCUCAUGUGAUCAUCAAUCACAAUUCAG